Molecule: ribosomal RNA, 330 nt
Filed under: uncultured eukaryote
Lineage: Eukaryota
Description: partial 18S ribosomal RNA
Rfam family: Eukaryotic small subunit ribosomal RNA
Source: RNAcentral
CCCUUAGAUGUUCUGGGCCGCACGCGCGCUACACUGACGAAGUCAGCGAGCAUCUCCUACGCCGAAAGGUGCGGGGAAUCUUGUGAAACUUUGUCGUGCUGGGGAUUGAUUUUUGAAAUUCUUGAUCAUCAACGAGGAAUUCCUAGUAAGCGCAAGUCAGCAGCUUGCGUUGAUUACGUCCCUGCCCUUUGUACACACCGCCCGUCGCUACUACCGAUUGAAUGGUUUAGUGAGAUUUUUGGACUGGAACUCUCUUGUUCAGCAAUGAACGAGAGGGACUCUGGGGAGCUAUUCUAACUGUAUCAUUUAGAGGAAGUAAAAGUCGUAACA